CUAGACUACCAACAAAACCAACCACCAAAACCUGUCUAAUGUGCACAUCCAACAACCUUGUUAGUUUUGACACUUAACAGAUAGGAAAUCGCAUGUUUGGAUGCAAUGCACCUAUACAGUUAAACGUUUCUACCAUGUGUUUGAACAGUAGCAUGUUUUAUCCCGAUCUUAACUAGGUCUUUCAGUAUGUACCUCUUUUAUUUUAUUUUUGCCUCUCUUUAAUCGCUCUUGAUUUUUUUUUUUCAUUUUGUUUCUGCCACUCUCUUAUUUUUUGGCACACUCUUUUUCUCUUUUGUUUGUCAUUCUUUUAUUUCUUUCGCUCUCUCUCUCUCUUUUCUUUUCUUUUUUUUUCACUCUUUUCUUUCUUUUUCACUCAAUCUUUUUUAGUUUAUUUUAUCACUCAACUAAUUUUAUGGCUAUGAUUGAAUCCGAUGAGGAUUGUCUACGUAUCAUGACGCCGCACGAAUCAGGUCUUGCGUAGUUUGGAAAGAUCGAAAAUAAAGUAAAUAAACUAACACUUUUUUUCUUUGUUUACUUUUAUAAAACUCAGACCGUGAAAGCUUUAAGGAAAAGAAAAGCAUAUAUUUUUUUUUUAAUUUUUUGUUUUGUUGUUUUUGUUUUUUUUUCGAAAGAAAUGCUUUCAAAGAAGAAAGAAAAUAUUUUUUUAUUUUUUGAUUUAUUUUUCUUUUAUUUUUUGAAAGAAAAACUUCUAAAAAUUCCUUUUCUUUGUGAUUUGAACUUUGGGAAUUUCAAAAGUAAAAGAAAAUAUUUUUUGUUAGAAUUUUUAUUUGUUUUCUUAUUUUUUCUAAAGAAGAAAGAAAAUAUAUUUGGAUUUUGGAUGCUGUCUCUUAAUUUUUGAAAGAGGGACUUUUUAAGAAAACAUUUUGCAUUUCUAUGUUUUUUUUUUAUUUACAAAAGUACUUCUAAAGAAAAGCGAAAAUAUUUUUGGAUUUUUCAAAAAUUUUACGAAUAUUUGCAAAGAAAGGCUUCCAAAGAAGAAAAAGUAUUUUUAGAUUUUUAUUUCUGAUUUAUUUUUUGGAUUUGUUUUUGGAAAAAUACUUCAAAAUGAAGGAAACCCGUAUUUUGGAUUCUGAUUUUUAUUGAUUUCUUUCAUUUUAUUUCUUUUUCCAUAUGAAAGAUUUCAGAAAGAAGGAACUAUUUUUGAGUUUAAAAACUUCUUCUUUUUUUUUUGAAUUUUCUAAGGAAAGAUUUCUAAAGAAGGAACUAAAAGAAAAUAUUUUUGGAUUUUUUUUUGGAAAUUGGGGCCGAGACCGAUGAUUUUUGCCUACGUAUCUCACAUCCGGUGAGAAUCAAACUCACGUAGUUCAGUCAAUUUUUACGGAACAAGGAAAACAUGACACUUGAAAAUUUUGGCUCAUUUUGAAAUAACUUUUCCUUUUUUUCCAGAAUUUCGACAGAGUUUCAGAAUUUGAAAUAUCACACCUUUUUUUUAUUUUCUUUUUCUUUUAGAAGUCGGUCAACAUGCAAGCUAAAUCAAAUAAUUGUACAAGUAGCACCUAAGAUGCAUCAAGAUGGUCUUUUUAAUUUGGGUACACUUGUCCUAGACGGACCCAACCCCUAUGUUGAGUCCCCAAAGUCAUGCACGUAAUGCAAACAAGCGUUCCUACUAGGGAUCCGGUAUGAGGCUAUAUUAUUCUAGGUUUUAAAACCUGGGUGUAUUAUUCUAAACCUGGCUUACCCGAGCGGACAACUCGAGCCGAGGGGGCAGCGUACCGGGAAUACAAAAGUUUCACCGGCUUUGCAACUUGUCUGAACCUCGUUCUAAAAUUGGGAUAUGUCUAACAAAAAAGAGGUCACACGAAGUGCACACGUUCCGGAUGAUUUAGAAAACUCAAGGAGAAAAGGGUUUCAUAACAAUUUAUAUACAGUCCAAACAAUAUCAAAGCGGUAAAAAGCGGCAUUUAGCAAAUUAGGCUCAAACAUGUAAAAAUCAGAUAAUAAAUAAAGCCAAGUAUAACAGUUAUUCUAAGCUCGAAUUCUGAAUCCUGAAGCAGAAGUUCUGGGUUCUUGUCUCCAGCAGAGUCGCCAAAGCUGUCACACCUCCCUUUUUACCACCCGAGAGGGGAUACAAGGGAGUUUUUCCAAUUAAAGUGACAUUAAUCGAAAUGGGAUUAAUUUAUUUAUCAGACUCGCCACUUGGAAUAGUUUAUUUGGUAUUCCAAGUCACCGGUUUAUUUUAAAAAUCUCAAAUCGAGGAAAAUCGACUUUAUUUAAAUGUCUGCGAAAUCAGAAAUUCUAAGUAAUGAAUUCUGUCAACCCAGGAGAAGGUGUUAGGCAUUCCUGGGUUCCGUGGUUCUAGCACAGUCGCUUAAACCAUUGAAAUUGGCCUAUUAUCCGAUUUAUUACAUGUUUUAACCUAUGGUGCAUUUUUAACUUUAGAACCACUUUUAAUUAAUCUAAACCGCUUUUACGAUUUAUGGAUUUUUUUUUGAACAAGUUAUGAUUGUCCUACACUUGUUUGUUUUGGAACAUGCUGCAAACCACGCAACAUGAAAUGCACCCGCAAUUCGCGACAUGUUUUAUUAAACAUUGUUGAGAACUGAAAUUGGGUCACAUGAAAUGUACACCCGGAUUUUGUAAUUAAAAAUCACAACUAUAUUACGGGAACCAUACCCGUAGCUAUGAUGAAUUAUUUAAAUAACGCGCUCAAAGCAACUACGAAGAUUCAAUUUUCUAUAACAACAUUUGUGAGAGCCAUGGAUGAUUUAAUUUAUUUAUGGCACACCUCAAACUUCUUUCUAUAAGUGUUAGUUCCUGAAUCUAAUCUUAUGAGGACCAUGGAUUAUAAAUUUUGUUUGACAUGGCACGCCUCAAAUUAUUUCAAAGGGUUUUAUUAUUCGAAAUUGUUAUAUUCGGGUCACAUGAAAUGCACCCCGAAUUUGGGAAUUAGGUAUCAUGACUAUGUCAUAGGAACCGAUGAUUAUUAUUAAUCACGCCUAAAGCAACUAACGCGUUUGAAUUAUUUAUCUUUACAUUGAGAUUAUUAUGCAAGAAAACCCUUUGAGACAACAGAAAGAUCUAUCAAAUUUCCUUUCAAAGGAAUUCAAGCAAAUCAGAUUUCACAAAAACCAAAGAAUCCAUUCAAAUUACGAAGACGGGUUGCAAGAACUGAAUCAAAAUUCAUGUAAAUCAUAUGGAGAAAUGGAGAUACACUCAUGAAUGCAGCUUACCAAUCAAUUUCGCCGGAGAAAUAAGAAGCUAGGAGUUCAUAUCAUAAAACGUAAUAAACUACAUUUGAAAAGUACUAAUACCAUGAUUCCAAUUAUACAUAUAACUUCCGGAUGAAUUACUGAUGCCCUUAAAGCUCUUUUGGCUAUAUUCACUAAUCUACUUUGGUCUCUAUUACCAAUGAUAGAAAAAAAAACGAAACAGAAGUUUAAGCAUUCAACUAAUUUGAACCAUUUUUAUCAAACAAAUAUUCAGGAAUCAAAGAUGAACUACACAUAUAAAGGAAACUUCAAAUUAGUAGUGUUUUGCAGUUCCCUGUUUAGGCCUUUUAGCACACAGUACGGUAGUAGAAAAGGGUUCCAUUGAAGGAACAAACACUAAUCUCCCCUUUUGUUCCACUGACAGUGAACAGCUUCUUAACACGUGAAUCAUUAUUUAAACAAUGCAAAGUUCCAGCAGUGAGCUAUUCUUGCCAACAAAUAACACUAAAAGAACUUAAUUCACCCGAAUAAUAUUGCAAAACAAACUGGAGAUUCAAGUCAUUUUUAACAGCCAACACAAUAAUUUUGAGUAAUCAAGCACAAAUUUAACAUAGAGCAGAUCACAUCUUCAUAUCAUUGAUUCAAACAGAAGGUUGGACAUGAACAUACCUAAUUGCAUAGGAAUAACAGAAUUUUGACCAAAACGAAAAUCAAAAGGGAAAGGAUUGAUCCCAGCUCUUGUUCGAGUGAGAAGCAGCAACAGAACAUCAAAACAGCUCAGGAAAUCACCUCAAAACCCAGGUCGGAUUCAGUCAAUUUCUAAUUAACGAGAUGCCAUAGAAGAGAGGUCCGCAGACAAACAACAUCAACAACAAACAACAACAGCUCCUUUAAAUUUUCAGAAGUACCAAAUGGAGGAGCAAGGCUGAAACGCAAAGAAGCUUGAAAUCCAAAGAAAAGGUCGAAUGAGUUGCCGGAAAAACCACUGGUUCGCCAAUAAAGCAGACUUCGAGCUCUAAGGAUUCAUAAGGGGUCUGAUGACUGGCCAGAUUUUUUGCAUUGACUCGCCGGAGAUGAAGCAAAAAAAACGAGGGAUGUAUAGCCUUUGGAGUAGAAGGCGCUGUUCUUGUUCUAACUUAAGGAUUAGGUGGGUUUUUAGUGAAGAAGAAGAAGCCUAGCUUAAAGGGUGUGGAGGAAAAAAUGGAGAUCAGGGGUGUUCUUUGGUUGUCAUCUAAAGAAGGAGCAGAGGCGUGAGGGUGUGAAGAAGAAAAAGUUCGGGGGGCGGGGGGCCUCAGAUCCGCCGUUUGUCUGUGUGGGAGCCUUAGGUCUUAGGUUAUUUAAUGUGGA
This 4517-nucleotide long non-coding RNA is filed under the name Nicotiana tabacum (common tobacco). RNAcentral's name for it is "long non-coding RNA (NTAB_LNC005493)". The record is from RNAcentral. Lineage: Eukaryota; Viridiplantae; Streptophyta; Magnoliopsida; Solanales; Solanaceae.